AUAUAUGUGAGUGUUUAUUAGUAUACAAAGUGAUUAAAUUUAAAAAAUGAUGUAAUAGGUUUUGAGAGAUUUCAGCUUAAAAGAAUGGUUUUUUAAGAUUAUCGAUUGCUUUUCUUGAUAUUGUUUGUUGUUGGGUAUUCUGUUGUUAGGAGAGGGAUUAUGGUUUUAGCAUCAUUUUAUGAGGAUUUCUUGAUACAAUCAAUCAUAGGGGGUGGUUUCUGAUUAAUGGUUUUGUAGAGAAGUGAAUGUGAUUAAUGGAAUUUCGUGUUCCAAGAUUGACCUUGUGUGGGAUUUAUGAUUCUUUCUAGUUGAGAAAUUGUGUGAGAAUAUGUUGACUCUAGCCUUUAUGGAUUUAGAUCUUAAUUGUUUAUGUGACAUCUAAUUACUUAAGUUCUUGCUCUUUGCUCCUCCUGUGCCCUAAAAAAUCUAGAAACGCAAUAUAGGGCUAAUACACUGUUCUAUUUUUUUGACAAGUAAAUUAUAUAUUUAUAUAUACUGUUCGGAAAUAAACAUUUUAUGUCUUGUGUGGGAUUCAUGAUUCUACUUUUCUUCUACCCAAGCACAAAGGGCGUUUAUAAAAAACUUAUUUCUGGUCCCCAAAACCCUCCCCUCCCAGUUAGUUGAAGUAGAGGCAAGAUCACUACGUGAAUACCAUGUGGUUACUUAAACUUUUAGUUUGCUACAGGUUUCGAUCCAUGCAUGUUUAUAAAAGGAUGCAUAUUCCUUCAUUUUGGAAAUCCUGGAGUUUUUGUCAAUGAAAUUUCUUCUUGUUUUGUUAAAAUGGUAGUAACUGCAAUAGCUCAAGGCAUCCUUCAUUGUAUUAGUACAGCUUGCCUAAUCAGAGUGAUUUUUUUGGCUAUUUAUCAUUAAUCUUAUAGCCAAUGACCAAGUAAAAGACUUAUUUGUCUAUCUUUCUAAGUGACAAACCAUAAUCGCAAUCCUUUUCCUUCUAGCAUAAUUGGUAUUGAUUAUUGUGAUGCAGAAAAAUACUUAAACAUAAUCAUUACAAACGGUGGGAGAAAAAAAUACGCACAGAAUGCAAUUCUUGCAUAAUUUUUAACUGGCCAGCUAAAGCUCUACUACUUGAUACGAUUAAAAUCAUAUACCUGUAAUCUUUGGCUUUAUCCAUGUCUAUAAUAAGGCAAUGAGCAAUAUGUUGAAUAGACAAAGUAUCAAUUUCUUUGGGUGUACAUGGUAUCUUGCAUACUGUAACAAUAAGUACAUUGGAGUCAUUCAAAUGGCUCAUUAGGAGCUUAUAAUAAUAUAGGUGAGUGGCAACAUAUUCUAUUUGCUCAAACUCACUCACCUACUUAACUAAUCCCUGAACAAAUAUUGAUGGCUUUAUAAUUAGGCGUAAGGAGGCCCACCACUCAUCUCUCUCAGACCCUGCAAAAGUGGUACCUUUGUGCACUACGUACAAUCUUUUUAAUCUGUAGGACCUACAUCUGGUGAUCAUUUUUAAUAUCUUGUUUGUGUCUUAGUCAGGUUUGAGAAAGAAAAACUGGAGUAUACAAGAAGACUUCAGGGGUAGUAAAUCUGGUUUCAUUAAAUUUACAUGGAAAUUGACUGAGUGGUCAGAUAAAGGAAAUAUAUUAUUUGCAUGUUAUGGUCUUAUAUAGUUUGAGAGGUAUUCAUUACUAGCUUUGUGGUCAAACUUUCUCUUUCAUCCACUCUCUGUUUCUGUGUAGCUUUUCUAUAUAAGUUGAUAGUUUUUAAUAUAUAUAUAUAUAAGAUAGACAAUUGUAUUUUCAUUUUGCUUUGCCCUAAAGUAGUGAAAGAAUGCACACAAUGUUCUUGUUCUUAUUUGACUUAGUCCAAAAAGAAAUUGUUGUUACUGCAUUUGUUGAUGGAGGCAGUAGUGGUCUUCGUUUGAGGAUAUAGCAGGCAUUCUAUAAUGUGGAGCACUUGUCACUCAAGCUUCAGCAAGAUGCUAGAUUGGUUAAUUUGCUGGAGGAUAUCAUGGAUGGCAGCCGAAUACUGAUCUUCAUGACUACCAAGGAAGGAUGUGAUCAGGUCACCCGGCAGCUUUGCAUUGAUGGGUUGGCAAGCUCUUUCAAUUAAUGGAGAUAAAAGUCAAGCAGAAAGGGUUGGGUCCUCUCAGAGUUUAAAGCUGGCAGGAGUCCUAUUAUGACUGCAACAGAUGUUGCAGCUUGUGGUUUGGGAAUGGAGAUAAAACUUUAAUGCUUGUUCAAAGACUUGAUAGAAAUUCAUUUUUAGUACAGGAAAUUGUGUUGGUAAACAAUAACUAAUAGCACUCAUCAUCAUCAUUAUCAACUCAUUUUGAUGCGAGCCAUUUCACUCAGCUCUUUGCUGCAUAUAUUGGAGAUCCACCUUUAUUUCUUGUUUGCACUCAUUUGUUAUAUUUUCUAUUCUGAUGCUGCUACUUGGUCAUUUUGAAAGAUUCAUGUUUUUUAGUUAUUGCUUUGCUAUAUUUAGUGGUCUCUAACUGUCUCUUGAACAUCUUUUUUAUCUAAGUUGGUGUUAUUUGUCACGUGGAUUCUGCUUGUAUGUCUGUUGAGCCACUUGUUUUCAUGUCUAUGGAUAUUGCCCUUGAACACUUAUUUUCAGCAACAACAACACUCGUGCAUGCAGAAAUGUAUUAAGGACUUAAGGUCACAUGUUUUCUGAUCUAAAUAAGAUUCUGAUGUGAGAGGUUGUUAUCCUACUGCGUUUCUUAUGACUUGUGAUGUGCUUAGGUUUUGGGGCAGAUGUGAAGGACGCGAAUUAUGUGAUCAAUUAUGACUUCCAGGAGUAUAUUCACCGCAUUGGUCGAACUGGAAGGGCUGGGGCAAAAGGAACUGCAUUAACUUUCUUCACAGCUGGAAACACCAUAUUUGCAAAGGAACUCAUCUGCAUACUUGAAGAAGCUGGAUAGAAGGUCAGUCCUGAAUUGGCUGCAGUGGGGCAUGGUGCACCUCCUCCCCCUUAGAUUAGUUGACUAGUUUGAAUACUCUUAGGUGGUGUUUAUAUGCAUGAGUGUGUGUACUUGGUUACUGAAAUCAACUGUUUCAGUGAAUAUCAACCAAUUAGAUCAUGGGGGUUUUCGAGAUUGUGGGAUGGGUUAUGGUGGUGGUAGCACGCUGUAUUUUGUGGGAAACAUUAGCAUGUAUGAUUAGAAAAUAGGAGUUAAAAUGUCUUGUUUCCAUUCAACUUUAA
Molecule: long non-coding RNA, 3156 nt
Organism: Quercus lobata
Lineage: Eukaryota; Viridiplantae; Streptophyta; Magnoliopsida; Fagales; Fagaceae
Exons: 3
Source: RefSeq, a predicted model, not a curated record